GUGUAGCAAUACACCGCCGGCGACCGGCGCACGGGCGAUUAACGCGUAUGCAACUUGCCUAUCAGAGGGGGAUAACCCGGCGAAAGUCGGACUAAUACCGCAUGAAGCAGGGGCCCCGCAUGGGGAUAUUUGCUAAAGAUUCAUCGCUGAUAGAUAGGCAUGCGUUCCAUUAGGCAGUUGGCGGGGUAACGGCCCACCAAACCGACGAUGGAUAGGGGUUCUGAGAGGAAGGUCCCCCACAUUGGUACUGAGACACGGACCAAACUCCUACGGGAGGCAGCAGUGAGGAAUAUUGGUCAAUGGGCGCGAGCCUGAACCAGCCAAGUCGCGUGAGGGAUGAAGGUUCUAUGGAUCGUAAACCUCUUUUAUAAGGGAAUAAAGUGCGGGACGUGUCCUGUUUUGUAUGUACCUUAUGAAUAAGGAUCGGCUAACUCCGUGCCAGCAGCCGCGGUAAUACGGAGGAUCCGAGCGUUAUCCGGAUUUAUUGGGUUUAAAGGGUGCGUAGGCGGCCUUUUAAGUCAGCGGUGAAAGUCUGUGGCUCAACCAUAGAAUUGCCGUUGAAACUGGGGGGCUUGAGUAUGUUUGAGGCAGGCAGAAUGCGUGGUGUAGCGGUGAAAUGCUUAGAUAUCACGCAGAACCCCGAUUGCGAAGGCAGCCUGCCAAGCCAUGACUGACGCUGAUGCACGAAAGCGUGGGGAUCAAACAGGAUUAGAUACCCUGGUAGUCCACGCAGUAAACGAUGAUCACUAGCUGUUUGCGAUACAGUGU
This 768-nucleotide ribosomal RNA is filed under the name uncultured bacterium. Its description in RNAcentral is "bacterial SSU rRNA". It matches the Rfam family "Bacterial small subunit ribosomal RNA", at positions 74 to 837 of the family's 1533-position model. The record is from RNAcentral.